GACGAACGCUGGCGGCGUGCCUAAUACAUGCAAGUCGAGCGGACUGAUUAAGAGCUUGCUCUUAUGACGUUAGCGGCGGACGGGUGAGUAACACGUGGGCAACCUGCCCUGUAGAUCGGGAUAACACCGAGAAAUCGGUGCUAAUACCGGGUAAUAUCUGAGAUCACAUGAUCUUAGGUUAAAAGAUGGCUCCGGCUAUCACUACAGGAUGGGCCCGCGGCGCAUUAGCUAGUUGGUAAGGUAAUGGCUUACCAAGGCGACGAUGCGUAGCCGACCUGAGAGGGUGAUCGGCCACACUGGGACGGAGACACGGCCCAGACUCCUACGGGAGGCAGCAGUAGGGAAUCUUCCGCAAUGGACGAAAGUCUGACGGAGCAACGCCGCGUGAGUGAUGAAGGGUUUCGGCGCGUAAAGCGCUGUUGUUAGGGAAGAAACAGUACCGAACGAACUAGGUCGGUGCCUUGACGGUACCUAACCAGAAAGCCACGGCUAACUACGUG
Molecule: ribosomal RNA, 500 nt
Filed under: uncultured bacterium
Lineage: Bacteria
Description: partial 16S ribosomal RNA
Rfam family: Bacterial small subunit ribosomal RNA
Source: RNAcentral